UACGAAGGGGGCUAGCGUUGUUCGGAAUUACUGGGCGUAAAGGGCGCGUAGGCGGUACUUCAAGUCAGGCGUGAAAGCCCCGGGCUCAACCUGGGAACCGCGCUUGAGACUGGAGAACUAGAGUUCGGGAGAGGAUGGUGGAAUUCCCAGUGUAGAGGUGAAAUUCGUAGAUAUUGGGAAGAACACCGAUAGCGAAGGCAGCCAUCUGGACCGACACUGACGCUGAGGCGCGAAAGCGUGGGGAGCAAACAGG
RNAcentral lists this ribosomal RNA (253 nucleotides) under uncultured bacterium. Its description in RNAcentral is "partial 16S ribosomal RNA". It matches the Rfam family "Bacterial small subunit ribosomal RNA", at positions 524 to 776 of the family's 1533-position model. The record is from RNAcentral.